This is a long non-coding RNA of Drosophila subpulchrella, 429 nucleotides long. RefSeq lists it as uncharacterized. Lineage: Eukaryota; Metazoa; Arthropoda; Insecta; Diptera; Drosophilidae. The record is from RefSeq and is a predicted model, not a curated record. The transcript has 3 exons.
CACGAAUUUUGCAAUGAGGCAUGGCGGAAGUUAGCACCAAAAUAUCUUCCUGCAGCCUUCUUAACCCAGGAGAAUGUUGAGGAGAACGGGACAGGGUUGUAUGCUCUCGGAUUUCCUUAAUGCUUUGGUGCCAUAGAUGGAUGCCAUAUAGAAAUAAGUCCUCCCAAAAAUGACGCUGUCGAUUUUUAUAACUACAAGGGCUGGUACUCUGUAAUUCUUAGGCCUUUGUAGUCUUUAAAUACCGGUUUAGAUAUAUAAAUGUUGGUGCUCCAGGCAGGUGUAACGGUUCUCAAGUGUACGAGCAAUCCUAUCUAAAGACGCUCAUUAAUGGAUCGAACAUCUUUGAGUCUAAUGCCAAAGAAAUUGAGAGGAUCAUGGUGCCAAUUAAUAUUUUGGGCGAUUCGGCAUAUUGAUUCUCUAAAAAAUGUA